GACGAACGCUGGCGGCGUGCUUAACACAUGCAAGUCGAACGGAAAGGCCCUGCUUUUGUGGGGUGCUCGAGUGGCGAACGGGUGAGUAACACGUGAGUAACCUGCCCUUGACUUUGGGAUAACUUCAGGAAACGGGGGCUAAUACCGGAUAGGAGCUCCUGCUGCAUUGUGGGGGUUGGAAAGUUUCGGCGGUUGGGGAUGGAGGCGCGGCUUAUCAGCUUGUUGGUGGGGGAGUGGCUUACCAAGGCUUGGACGGGUAGCCGGCCUGGGAGGGUGACCGGCUCCAUUGGGACAGGGGACAGACCAGGGGGCAAUAGGGGGGAAGGAGCGGGGAACUUUGCCAAACGGGCGGAAGCCGUGUGGAGCACCGCCGGGUGGGGGAUGACGGCUUUCGGGUUGUAAAACGCUUUCGCCUGUAACGAAGCGUGAGGGAGGGUAAUGGGUAAAGAAGAACCGGCUAAUUACGU
This 467-nucleotide ribosomal RNA is filed under the name uncultured bacterium. Its description in RNAcentral is "partial 16S ribosomal RNA". It matches the Rfam family "Bacterial small subunit ribosomal RNA", at positions 28 to 506 of the family's 1533-position model. The record is from RNAcentral.